GAUGAACGCUGGCGGCAUGCUUUACACAUGCAAGUCGAACGGCAGCAUAGAGAGCUUGCUCUCUGAUGGCGAGUGGCGAACGGGUGAGUAAUACAUCGGAACGUGUCCGUUUGUGGGGGACAACCAUCCGAAAGGAUGGCUGAUACCGCAUAAGACCUGAGGGUGAAAGCCGGGGACCGCAAGGCCUGGCGCGAACGGAGCGGCCGAUGACUGAUUAGCUGGUUGGCGGGGUAAAGGCCCACCAAGGCGACGAUCAGUAGCUGGUCUGAGAGGUUGAACGGCCACAUUGGGACUGAGACACGGCCCAG
RNAcentral lists this ribosomal RNA (308 nucleotides) under uncultured bacterium. RNAcentral describes it as "bacterial SSU rRNA". It matches the Rfam family "Bacterial small subunit ribosomal RNA", at positions 28 to 334 of the family's 1533-position model. The record is from RNAcentral.